This is a long non-coding RNA of Neofelis nebulosa (Clouded leopard), 2239 nucleotides long. RefSeq lists it as uncharacterized. The record is from RefSeq and is a predicted model, not a curated record. The transcript is spliced from 5 exons. Lineage: Eukaryota; Metazoa; Chordata; Mammalia; Carnivora; Felidae.
UUGAAUUUCUGUUAAUGUACAUUUCAGUUCUGUAAUUUCCACCUAGUUCUUUUGUUAUAACUUCCAUUUCUUUGAUGAGAUUUCUAUAUUUUGAUUGUUUCAAGAAGAUUUGUUACUGAUUGUUGAAGCUUUUUUAUAAUGUCUGCUUUAAAUCCUUUUUGGAUAACUCCAACAUGUGAUUCAUCUUGCUGAUAGCAUCAGUUUACGGUCCUCUCUCAUUCAGGUGUUACUUCUCUGUUUCUUGGUCCUACAGGUGAUUUUCCAUUGAUCCUGGCUGUUUUGGCUAAGUACUACUUAGAUCUUUAAUUUUAUCAGGCAGUCACCCUGCUUAGAUUUAGCAUGCAGGUCCUGGUCUACUUUUGUGGGGCGACGUUCCAAUGACAAUUUAAUGUCCAGAGGCUUUGCAGUGCUGUUUUAUCUGUUCAGUUUCUGUAUUUCUGUAGGGACCCCCAGGUCCCUGACAGUGCUGCCAGAAGGGGCAGAAGACUCCCCAGGCUAGCGCCAUCUGGUAGAUCUAAGUGGGAGAAGGGAAUCUGGCCCACAGGGACAAAGAUGCUUCUUAUGGUGGAUCCCCUUUGGGCCGUCAACUGGCCAUCCUAGUGUCCCCCAGAAGAGCGGAGUCUUGGGACCAGUGAGGAAGCAGGUCACUUCCCCUGAGCUUUUACUGUCAGUUGGGGCUGCCACACCACGCACCUUACCACUGUGGCGGCGCUAGCUUGAGGAUGUUCGCUUGUCUUGCAUUAAAUCCCACAGCAGCACACCCACUGGCGCCACCUUCUGUUGCCAGAUUCAGAGUUGGAAGACACCGGCCUGGAUCACCUGUUUCUGUUCCGCUGUUGUGUUGCUCUUCCAGGCCCGGGGUCCCUACCCUGUUGGCCUUCUUCUUUCCCACUUGCAGAGUUCUUCUUUGACUCUUGUUUUUUUUCCAGGGGUUACAGUUAUACUUCAGAUAGAGAGGCAGGGAGAAACAAGUCCAAGCCGUCCCGUCUGCACCCAGAGUCUCCUCUUAAUGUUACUAGAUUGGCUGGCUGUGGGCCUCUGUCAUACACAGCUGACUAAAACAGAUGUCCUAUUCAACUUUUCAUUUUUGUGACCCUUGUAUCUCACCAAUCAAGUGUGAACAUCUUCCAAUGUCAAUGAGCAUAUACUUGAAUCCUAGUAAGUGGCAUUAUGUUAUUUCAUUGUGUAGCUAUAGCAUAAAGUCAACCAGUCUUCUAUAACUGAACUUUGAAGUGUAAAAAGAUUUGUAGCCUCCCCAUAUCUUUUUUAAAAAAUGUUUGUUUAUUUUGAGAGAGAUUGUGUGUACAUGUACUUGUGUGCGAGCAGGGGAGGGGCAGAAAGAGGGGGAGAGAGAGAAUCCUAAGCAGGCUCCGCACUGUCAGCACAGAGCCUGACUUGGGGCUCAAUCCCAUGAACCGUGAGAUCAUGACCUGACCCAAGAUCAAGAGUCAGACAUCUAACCGACUGAACCACCCAGGUGCUCCAAGCCUCCCUGUAUUUCUAUCUUUUUAUUUAUUUUUUUUUAAUUGAAAUCUUAAACCUGCUUUUGAGGAGCAGUCAAAUCCUGAAAAUCAGUGUGAGGGAAGUAAGACCUGAAAAGGGAAAGACUUAGAAUUAAAUGGCUCAAAAUGGUGUUUCUAUUUCCUGGGUGCUAACAUGUACCCACACAUGGAACAGAAUUCAGAACUCCGUGAAGAGCUGGUAUCCCGAGAGUCGAUGUCACAUGCCUGUGGCAUAGGACAUGGGGCUGGACAGUGGCUGCGCUUCUAAAUUGGCCUUCAUCCAGAUCUGGACAGGUUAAUUGUCGUGUGUGUGAGAUGCUUGACCUCAAGAUUAUCAUCGCCCUUGGUGGCGGCUUACUGAUUGUCACAUUUGUGCUGAUGGCUGUUGUCAUCUGUCUUUACUACAAAGUAGCCAACGCAUUGAAAUGUUCAAAGGCAUAUUUGGCUCUGACCAUCAAUGAUAAUGAGGCCACAGUCACGAUGACCACAGACUCCACCAAUGGGUCCUAUCCCAGCAUCCAGUGUUGUGAAGAAUGUAACUUGAAUGCCAACUCGAACCCCCUGCCACCGUGAUUCUGUGACGUAACCAAAAGCCCUGGACUUGGCACAAAAAUCUUCAUUCGUAGUAUUUCUUUCUUGGUAGAAUCCAUUAUUCAAGUCAGGUUCAAAUCAUGUUUAUAUCAUGUUAGGUACCACAUAUUUAUGUACUUUUGGAUAAAUAUGCAAGAGGAAAAUAA